RNAcentral lists this ribosomal RNA (961 nucleotides) under uncultured bacterium. RNAcentral's name for it is "bacterial SSU rRNA". It matches the Rfam family "Bacterial small subunit ribosomal RNA", at positions 379 to 1378 of the family's 1533-position model. The record is from RNAcentral.
AAGACUGACGCAGCAACGCUGCGUGAGACGAAGCUUUGAGGUGUAACUCCUUUCUCAGGGACGAUAAUGACGGUACCUUGGGAAGAAGCCCCGGCUAACUACGUGCCAGCAGCCGCGGUAAUACGUAGGGGGCAAGCGUGUCCGGGAUUUAUUGGGCGUAAAGCGUUCGCAGGUGGUGCAGGAAGUGAUGUGUGAAAGCGCCUGGCUUAACUGGGCGAGGCCAUGUCAAACUCCUGGACUUGAGGGUCGGAGAGGCAGACGGAAUUCCGGGUGGAGUAGUAAUAUGCGUAGAGAUCCGGAGGAACACCUGUGGCGAAAGCGGUCUGCUAGACGAUGCCUGACACUGAGGAACGAAAGCGUGGGGAGCGAACAGGAUUAGAUACCCUGGUAGUCCACGCCCUAAACGAUGGCUACUAGGUGCUGGGGGUAUCGACCCCUCCGGUGCCGGCGCAAACGCAGUAAGUAGCCCGCCUGGGGAGUACGGUCGCAAGACUAAAACUCAAAGGAAUUGACGGGGACCCGCACAAGCAGCGGAGCGUGUGGUUUAAUUCGAUGCAACGCGAAGAACCUUACCAGGACUUGACAUGGCACUGUAAGACCCAGAGAUGGGUGCCCCCGCAAGGGCAGUGUCACAGAUGCUGCAUGGCUGUCGUCAGCUCGUGCCGCGAGGUGUUGGGUUAAGUCCCGCAACGAGCGCAACCCCUGGGUCGCGUUAGGAUUCACGACCGACAGCCCCGAACAACGGGGAGGAAGGUGGGGAUGACGUCAAGUCAGCACGGCUCUUACGUCCUGGGCGACACACACGCUACAAUGGGGUGACACAAGGGGCUGCCAACCCGCGAGGGGGAGCCAAUCCCGUCAAAGCACCCCGUAGUGCAGAUUGCAGGCUGCAACUCGCCUGCAUGAAGAUGGAGUUGCUAGUAACCGUGGGUCAGCACACCGCGGUGAAUACGUUCCCGGG